UCACUUUAGCUGCGUGCAUACUACAAUUGGAACGAUACGGAGAGGAUUAGCAUGGCUUCUGUGAGAGGAUGACACACAUUCAUGAAGCACUCCACAUUAAA
This 101-nucleotide small nuclear RNA is filed under the name Cebus imitator (Panamanian white-faced capuchin). The record is from RNAcentral. Lineage: Eukaryota; Metazoa; Chordata; Mammalia; Primates; Cebidae.